UUUUUUUUUUUAAGAUUUUAUUUAUUUAUUCAUGAGAGACACAGAGAGAGAAGAAGAGGGAGAAGCAGGCCCCCUGAGGGGAGUCUGAUAUGGGACUUGAUCCCAGGACCCCGGGAACAUACCCUGAGACAAAGGCAGAUGCUCAACCACUGAGCCACCCAGGUGCCCCUACUGAAAUCUCACUGUAAUGAAUAUUUUACAGUAGGGUGCAAGCACCUGCUUAUUUUGUGAUGUUGACUAUCCUUAUACAUGAACUUUGACAAUAAUAUCUGGUCUUUGAAUGGUAUAUCCUUUACAUACACACUUGAACUCUGCAGGAAAAUAGCACCUACAAUCACUUGGUUUCCUAUUAGAUGAUACAUUCAUUUUGCUUAUUUUUCCUUCAGUCCACCAAGAUGCAUCAUUACCAGAUUAUGUAUGACUUUUAAGUAUAUUUCAAAGCAUAUUAGGAUGAAAACUAGCAAAUAACAUAAACUCAAAAUCUUAAAAUCAAACUUGACUUCCUUUACACUGAUGUCUUGAAUUAGUUGCCAGGGCAUGUCGCUGAUACCUCCUCAUUCCUAAAAAACCUAUGGAUUAUUUCCAAUCCAGCCUCAUUAUUCCUAUUUAGUUAUCCCUGAGGCUGUAUCAAUUGUGCAUCCACGACAACCACCCUAACUGGACCACCUGCUGUUUCUCUCUCCAGACUCCUUUCUGUCCAUGUCAGAGGACUUUAACAUUCAACUUCUCAGCUUGUGAAUUGCAAAACCCCAGAGAGCAUUGUUCAGUACACACUGCAUGCAUUAACCAGACUCCACAGCUUAACUCAAACACUCUCUAAGAGAUAACAUCAUCUUUAUGUAAUAAUAGAACUCCUCUAAGGUGGGUAAUACCUAUCUUAGAGAGCUCUGGCUGCCAUAACAUAAUACCAUAGACUGCGUGGCUUAAACAACAGAGAUUUAUUUUCUCGUAGUUUUGGAGGAUGAGAAGCCGCAGAUCAGCAUGCCAGCAGAUUUGGUUGCUAGUGAGAGUUCUCGUCCUGGGCUUGCAGAUGGCUGCCCUCUUGCUAUGUCCUGACAAGAAAGGGCCUGUCGUUGGUGCUUGCACAGAGAGGGAUAGAGAAAGGAAGAAAGAGAUAAGGGGAAAAAAGGAGGGGUGAGUGAGAGAGAAGUAUUGAGAGAGUGCUUCUUCUAUUAGAAGUCACUAAUCCUGUCAUGAAGGCCCAUUCUCAUUACUUACAUAACCCCAAUUACCUCCCAAAGCCCCAUCUCCAAAUAACACUGGGCUUGGGCUUAAACACAGGAGGGAGCGCAUUCAGUCAAUAACAUCACACUUCAGGCUCCCCCACAUUUAUCUCCCUCACACAUGCAAAAUGCAUCCAUCCCAUCCCAACAGCCCCCCAAAUCAUAAUUUGUUCCGGGAUUAACCCUACAGCCUAAAUCCAGAAUGUCAUCUCAAUAUCAUCAAAAUCAGAUAUGGGUGAGAACUGGAGGUAUAAUUCAUCCUGAAGCAAAAUUGUUUUUCAACUGUGAACCUGUGAAACCAGACAGCUGGUUAAUGUGCUUCCACCAUACCAUGGUGGGACAGGUUUACGAUAAACACUACUAUUCCAAAAGGGAGAAAUACAAGGAAAGGGAGAUGGGUCCCCAGCAAGUCCAAUAUCUAGUAAGGCAAAUUUCAUUAGAUGUUAAAGUUCAAGAAUCAUCAAUCCUCUUUGGUUCAGAGGGGGCAGUUGUCCCACUUCUGUGGCUCUGCUGGGUUGCGUUACAACCCCCAGGCUGUGAGCUCUCUGGUUCCAUGGCUUUGCAGGAUGGACUCAUCUCCAAGACUUUGGUUGAGGCCUAUCCAAUCUGUUAAAACCAAAAUGGUGGCCCGGAUGAUCUCUGAAUUAAUUGCCUUUCGGGGGUCCUUCUUCCCCUUUCUUGAAGAAAGGUGUAAGUUUACAUCCUAAUAACACUAUGGCUCAAUCCUAUAGGAUCUAACAAGUCUGACGGCCUUUCUUUACUUUGUCCCAUCUCCAUCCCCUUCCAUUCAAACUGGCUGUAUUCAAUUUAUACAAUCUCAGUCCCACCCUUGUGUUCUCUCUCUCUCUUUUUUAAAGAUUUUAUUUUAUUUGUUUAUUCAUGAGACACAUACACAAACACAGAGAGAGAGAGAGAGAGAGAGGCAGAGACAUAGGCAGAGGGAGAAGCAGACUCCAUGCAGGGACUCCAGGAUCACGCCCUGGGCUGAAGGCAUGUGCUAAACCGCUGAGCCACUCAGGGAUCCCCUUGUAUUCUCUUUUGAAUGCACUUAUUAUUUAUUUUUACAAAAUGGUCAGGCUAAUAGUUUUCUUAAUGAUUAAGUUCUGGUUCCUUUUAUAUAUAUAUAUAUAUAUAUAUAUUUAUAUUUAUAUAUAUUUAUAUUUAUAUUUAUAUUUAAUUUUUAAAGAUUUUAUUUAUUUAUUCAUGAGAGACACACAGAGAGAGGCAGAGACAUAGGCAGAGGGAGAAGUGGGCUCCCUGCAGGGAGCCCGAUGUGGGACUCGAUCCCAGGACUCUGAGAUCACGCCCUGAGCCAAAGGCAGAUACUCAACCACUGAGCCACUCAGGCAUCCCAGUUCUGAUUCCUUUUAACCUAAUAGUUCCUCCCUCAAUUAAUCUCUUUCUUAUGUGUUACACUCCAGGAGGAGGCACACUGCUUCUUCAACUUAUUGCUUAAAAAUUCCUUUGUUAAAUAUCCAAUUGCAUUGCUCCCAAGUUCUCCCUCCUACAACACAGGAAAAUGCCAAAACAAUUCAACCAAGUUCUUUGCCUCUUUAUAACAAGGAUUGCCUUUCUUCCAGUUUCCAAUAAAAUAUCCCUUAUGUCCAUCUGAGAACUCACCAGGAUGGUCCAUCAUGUCCAUAUUUCUACAAACAUUCUGUGCAUAAGUAUUUAUGCACUCCCUGAAAGGAUGGAGCCUUGCUCUCUCACUCUCCUCUUCCUCAGUCCUCACUAGACUAGCCCUAAUAUCCAUAGUUCUAGCACACACCUCAAAAACCCUCCAGCCUCUGCCUCUCACCCAGCUCCAAAGCUGCUUUCACAUUUUUACAUAUUUGGUCCAGCAGUGUUCUACUUCUCAGUAUCAAAAUCUGUGUUCAAAUUACCAUCUGACUCAGUAGUCCCACUCCUGGAAAUAUAUCCAAAGGAAAUGAAAUCAGGAUCUUGAAGAGCUAUCCGUACUCCUAUGUUCAUUGAAGCAUUAUUCACAAUAGCUAAGAUCUGGAAACAACCUGAGCAUUAUUCAACCAUGAAUGAGUAAAGAAGACAUCUCUCUCUCAUUCUCUCUUUCUCUGUCUCUCUCUCUGUCUCUCAGUGUUGUAUUAUUUAGCCACAAAAAAGAAACAAACCCCACAGGGACAUCUGAAUGGCUCAGUGGUUGAAUGUCUGCCUUCAGCUCAGUGCAUAAUCCUGGGGUCCUGGCAUUAAGUCUUGCAUCGGGCUCCCUGUAGGGAGCCUGUUUCUCCCUCUGCCUGUGUCUCUGCCUCUCUGUGUGUGUCUCUCAUGAAUAAAUAAAUAAAAUCUUAAAAAAAAAAGCUGAACCCAUAGAAAGAGACAGUAGAGUGGUGGUUACUAGUGGUAGGUAAUGGUGAAAAAGGGGAGAUAUUUGUCAAAGGGUACAAACUCUCUAUUAUAAGAUGAGUAAGUUCUAGGAUCUAAUGCUAUAGCAUAGUGACUGUAGCUAACAACACUGUAUUACAUACUUGAAAGUUCCCCAGAGAGAAGAUCUUAACUGUUUUCAUUCCAGAAAGGAAAUGGUAAGCAUGUGAUAGGAUGAAGGCAUUGGCUAACAUAAUGGUGUCCCUCCUUUUACAACAUGUAAAUCAUCACAUUGUACACCUGAAACUUCUAUAGCAUUAUAGGUCACCUAUCUCAAUAAAGCUGGGAAAAAACAAAACAAAACAAAACAAAAUCUAUCUAAGCUUAGGCUUCCCAUAGCAGAAUACUAAAAGCUAGGUGACUUAAAUAACUGUUACUUAUUUUCUCAUAGUUUUGGAAGUUAGGGAAUCCAAAAUCAGGGUGGUGGCCAAUUCAGGUCCUGGCGAAUUGGGGAUUCCUAGGUCUGGGAUGUCUGUCUUCCCACAGUAGCCUCACAUGGCCUUUCCUUGGUGCAUGCUCAUAGAAGGAGACAUCUCUCUCUUCCUCUCCUUAUAAAGCCACUAAAGCUGGGGUGCCUUGGUGGCAUAGUUGGUUAAGUGAAUUUCUCUUCCCUUCUGCUCAGGGUAUGAUCUCAUUGAGGUGCAAUUGAGCUCCUCAUCGGGCUCCAUGCUCAGAGCAGUAUCUGCUUGAGUUUCUCUCUCCUCCUUCUGCCCCUCCCCCCACAUUCUCCUUUUCUCUCUCUCUGGAAUAUACAAAAUCUUAAAAAAAAAAAAAAAAA
Molecule: long non-coding RNA, 4377 nt
Filed under: Canis lupus familiaris (dog)
Lineage: Eukaryota; Metazoa; Chordata; Mammalia; Carnivora; Canidae
Description: lncRNA (ENSCAFG00000054875.1)
Source: RNAcentral